UGUCACAUGAGAACUCAUGGUUGGGAUAAUGCAAAGUAGUCAUUUGACCUGAGGCAUCGUCGUUGUCUUGUGGUUAAGUCCUUGAUCUUUGAUUAUGUCAAACGUCAUUCCAUUGGAGUGUCCACGACAUCGUUGGGGUUAAGCCACUUAGCCAUGAAGGUAAGUGAAUGCGCAACAAGGGAUCUCUAACCUUCAAACUGUUUGAGGGAGAAUACUCUAUGAUAUGAUUAGAAUCUCUGGCCAGAGUAUGAAUGAGAUUUAGGAAUGCGUUCCAAAUCACAUUCAAGGUAAUCAUAUAAGCA
Molecule: long non-coding RNA, 302 nt
Filed under: Malus domestica (apple)
Lineage: Eukaryota; Viridiplantae; Streptophyta; Magnoliopsida; Rosales; Rosaceae
Description: long non-coding RNA (MDOM_LNC007496)
Source: RNAcentral